CCUCCCCUCCAUUCAAUCCCAGCGCUGGGAUGCUCCCUCCAUCUCCGUGCCAUGCGGGCUCCAAACAGUUUUACCUGGGUGAGGGAAGCAGGCUGGAGAAAGCAUGUGAUCACACGCAGUCGAGAAUCUUGUUUUCUUUGGAGUGAAACUAUUCCUUUCACCUGUGUGAUGGCAUGAAAGAGUUUUCAUCUGAGGCAAAUGAAAAAUAUUCCACCGCCUUCCCACCAACCUCCAGUACCAGCUCUGUAAAGAACAAAAGGAAUGAGGCUGGAGAGAAACCAUCCUGAAAAGGUCAACCAUUUCAACAUGUCCAAAGCAUUGAGGGGUUUCCAGUGAAUUAUAUUCCUCAGGGAAAGGCAGAGGCAUGGGUAGUUGUCUGGUUUUAAGCAUCUCUGACAUGCUUUGAUUCUAAACACCACAUCAGACAAAAUGUGGUGAACUUUAACUUUUAGACUUUUGGUAAAUAGAUAUUUAUCUUAAAAAUACUUCAUCAUUAGUAUGAACAGCAACAGCCAUCCCUCUCUCUUUCUUUCAGGAGAGAUAUUAGAUUUCCUUUUAUUUUCUCCUUGGGACAAAACUGAAGUUGUGACUUGAGCUGAGAUCACCACAAAGAGCAACAGAAAGUCCAGCCUUGAGCUGAGCCAAUUUCACCUCAGAGAAACUACACGAGGAAAGGCAUCCACCAAAUGAUAAAAGCAAACAGCCCCUGUGAGCACAUCAUUCCAUGGGUCUCAUGAAGUGCUUUACUUGAACUUAUAAUACUCUUGAAAUCAGCUUUUGGCCCAACAUAGCUCACAUAAAUUUCAGUCAGGCUUGCAGCUUUCCACCCAAAAUUAACACGGCUGUUGUUGCCUGUCAAAGGGAUGUCAAAGGCAGUGUGAAUCUGCCUUUCAAGUCUGAGUCAUUGUGACAGGCCACACAAAGUCACUGCUUCUGGUUCUGAGGACAAAGACCUUUAGUUCUGAGGACAAAGACCUUGCAUGUUUUCCAUCUAGCCCAAACCCUUCUGAUACAUUUGUGUGGUGACACAACCUUGGGGAAAAUAUGGUUGUGUGGGCAGCAGCCCUUUGCAAUUCUAACUCUUAAAAACUAAUUCUGUCAUAAGAAAUAAAUCCUUUGUGGAGAA
This is a long non-coding RNA of Zonotrichia leucophrys gambelii, 1126 nucleotides long. RefSeq lists it as uncharacterized. NCBI's taxonomy places the organism in Eukaryota, Metazoa, Chordata, Aves, Passeriformes, Passerellidae. The transcript has 2 exons. The record is from RefSeq and is a predicted model, not a curated record.